UCAAUGGAUUUUCUAAAAUCCAUAAACAAACAACAGUAUAACCUA
Molecule: non-coding RNA, 45 nt
Organism: Equus caballus (horse)
Lineage: Eukaryota; Metazoa; Chordata; Mammalia; Perissodactyla; Equidae
Source: Rfam